AUGGAGCUGAGCGAUUCCGAGAAUUUUGAUCGUUAUGGUUGCUGUGAUAUUCUGAUGCGUGUGAUGUUGAUGAUGUAUGAAGAAAUUUGGUUAUAUAGUGAUGGAGUUUGUUACCGAUUGAAGAAUCAUGGCCCUUGGAUUCAAGUAGUUUGUUAUAAAAUUAGAUGUAGGUUUGCUUCAACGAUGUGGCAUGGUGAUUAA
Molecule: non-coding RNA, 201 nt
Organism: Vicia faba (fava bean)
Lineage: Eukaryota; Viridiplantae; Streptophyta; Magnoliopsida; Fabales; Fabaceae
Source: the annotation of a GenBank genome assembly